CUUACAAAUAAAGAGUUGCAAACAUUUUUCUAAAGAAACUCCUAAAAUCCACUCAGGCCAUAAACGCUGCUCAGACUGAAGCGGAACAUCACCUGUACAGGUAGCCGCCGGUUGCCGCCGGUGACCAGCCUCUGUGACCUGACCAGCGCUGCGACAGGCUGCGUGAAAAUAAAGAAUAUAAAACACA
Molecule: long non-coding RNA, 187 nt
Organism: Micropterus salmoides (largemouth bass)
Lineage: Eukaryota; Metazoa; Chordata; Actinopteri; Centrarchiformes; Centrarchidae
Exons: 2
Source: RefSeq, a predicted model, not a curated record